UGAAUAAAACUGUCAGAUUGUUGGAGU
RNAcentral lists this small RNA (27 nucleotides) under Bombyx mori (domestic silkworm). Its description in RNAcentral is "piRNA piR-bmo-2227111". The record is from RNAcentral. Lineage: Eukaryota; Metazoa; Arthropoda; Insecta; Lepidoptera; Bombycidae.